Molecule: ribosomal RNA, 398 nt
Filed under: uncultured bacterium
Lineage: Bacteria
Description: bacterial SSU rRNA
Rfam family: Bacterial small subunit ribosomal RNA
Source: RNAcentral
GACGAACGCUGGCGGCGUGCCUAACACAUGCAAGUCGAGCGAUGAAGCCCUUCGGGGUGGAUUAGCGGCGGACGGGUGAGUAACACGUGGGUAACCUGCCUUGUAGAGGGGGAUAGCCUUCCGAAAGGAAGAUUAAUACCGCAUAACAUCUUUUUAUCGCAUGGUAGAAAGAUCAAAAGGAGCAAUCCGCUACAAGAUGGACCCGCGGCGCAUUAGCUAGUUGGUGAGGUAACGGCUCACCAAGGCGACGAUGCGUAGCCGACCUGAGAGGGUGAUCGGCCACAUUGGGACUGAGACACGGCCCAAACUCCUACGGGAGGCAGCAGUGGGGAAUAUUGCACAAUGGGGGAAACCCUGAUGCAGCAACGCCGCGUGAAGGAAGAAGGUUUUCGGAUCGU